RNAcentral lists this ribosomal RNA (254 nucleotides) under uncultured bacterium. Its description in RNAcentral is "partial 16S ribosomal RNA". It matches the Rfam family "Bacterial small subunit ribosomal RNA", at positions 524 to 776 of the family's 1533-position model. The record is from RNAcentral.
UACGUAGGGGGCAAGCGUUGUCCGGAUUUAUUGGGCGUAAAAGGCUUGUAGGUGGCCACGCCAAUUCGGAUGUGAAAGCCCCCGGCUCAACUGGGGAGGGUCACGCGAUACUGAUCGACUCGAAGGCAGGAGAGGGUAGUGGAAUUCCCGGUGUAGUGGUGAAAUGCGUAGAUAUCGGGAGGAACACCAGUGGCGAAGGCGACUACCUGGCCUGUUCUUGACGCUGAGGCGCGAAAGCUAGGGGAGCAAACGGG